Non-coding RNA from Pelobates cultripes (western spadefoot toad), 781 nucleotides. Lineage: Eukaryota; Metazoa; Chordata; Amphibia; Anura; Pelobatidae. The record is from the annotation of a GenBank genome assembly.
GGAAACUUGUAAAGGUGAAGUACCCUCCCCCUUGAUAGCGAGUGUCCAACUCAGAGUUUAACAUGCUCAUAUUUUGAAAUUGGAGUUCUAAGCCACACAGUGGUUGUGGUGUAUAACCGUUUAGGUGAGCAGACCCUUUUCUUUUUUCAAUCUCUUUGUGAUUUAUAAGUUCUUCUGUGAUUCUUUAUCAUUUAACAUGGGCUGGAUAUAUUGAAUUUUUGGUUGCUAAGUGAGGAAACAGGGUACUUUCCUGAAAUACCUACCUUUAUUGAGAAAUAAUCAAAAGGUUACUAGCAUUCUGUUUAUACAGCUCUGGGAUAUAUGGAUCACAGUGCUCUUAUUAUUGUGUGCAAUUAGUACUAAUAUAUUAUGUAUAUAAAUUGUCCUAAAUGUAUAUAUAUCAUUCAAGUGUCCCUUUUAGUUUCACCAAGGGUGCAAUGAUAAGAUUCACAUAUGUUUCACAAUUUUUCUUGUUUAAUAUUUAUCUAAUGUAUCUUAUACACUAUGAUGCAUGGAUUGUAUGUAGUUGUAUUCAUAUUCACAUGAAACACACUAUUUAGUGGUUAAGUUAAGUUUUGUGGUCCACAUGUGGCUCAUCAAUCUACAGUUCGCACUGUUUAGUCUGGAUCUUUGAUCACAGGUAUUACCUUUGUCUAGGGGGAGGGUACUUCACCUUUACAAGUUUCCUGCACUUUUUUUGCUAUUUAAAGAUGGUGUUUGGAACUAUGGGGUUAUCCUGAUGAAAGUUUUAUGAUGGACUGAAACGUCGAUUUGUUGUAAC